UGUGUGACCUUAGGCAAGCCAGUUAACCUAUCUGUGCCUCCAUUUCCCCAUCUGCAACAUGUAGGAACAACAGUGCUACCUUGAAGGGUUCUGGUAGGAUUACAUGAGGCCAGGAUGGGCCUGGCCUGAGAUCUGUGCUACUUAAGUAUUGACAUUAUAAUUACACCAAUGUGCUCACAAGAUGUACACAGGGGCUCAGGGACAUAGACACACACACUCCACCGACACACUCACCUGUGCCCACAGACUUCCUCAUAUACUUGGACACCCUCCCCUCCCUCCCUCCUGGCCCUCUCACCUGAAGUGGGUGCCAUGGAUGGCCUUGGUGCACUGGUCACCGGCUUCACCAGGGCCACGGCCUCUCUGGACACCUGUCCCACCCCAAAGAGACUGCUCAGGGGGCAACAGGCAGGCCCUGUGGAGGGGCAGUGGCAGGGCCACAGCUUAUAGGGGUAGCUGGUUUCUGAGGAUCCCUGAGGCCCCUCUUUGUCUUCUGUUCCACCUGGGCUCAGCCCCACCUUCCCCCCUCACCUGGGUGCCAGGUGCAGCUGCCAGGUGGGUCAUCUGCCCUUUCAGGAUCAUCAGGGCCUCCUCAUGAGGGUCUGGCCGCUUCAUGAACACUUUCCCGCCAUCCUUCCUGUGGGCAUUGGAGUACUGUGGUGGGUUGACACUGAGUCUCCCUUUCCCAUCACAUAGUUUGACAGUAGGAAACUUCCUCCUCCUCCACCACCCCCUAUCAUUAUAAAUGAGAAUCCAGGGAGAAGCAGAGACUGGCCUGAAGUCCUACAGCACAACCUAGACAACAGCAGGGCCUCAUCUGGACUCAUCAGUAUAAAGAAACUCCCUCCCUAACAGGAGCUGGGCAGGGCGCUUCAACCCAAUCCAGGAGUGACUGCUGGAACUUGGCGGCCACAGUGUGCGCCUUGUAG
This 929-nucleotide long non-coding RNA is filed under the name Homo sapiens (human). RNAcentral describes it as "HSALNT0238116". Lineage: Eukaryota; Metazoa; Chordata; Mammalia; Primates; Hominidae. The record is from RNAcentral.